This 27-nucleotide non-coding RNA is filed under the name Homo sapiens (human). The record is from RNAcentral. Lineage: Eukaryota; Metazoa; Chordata; Mammalia; Primates; Hominidae.
UCCGAAGUUUCAGCGACUUGUUACCCC